GCCCUCAUGGCUCAGGGGUAGAGCAUCUCCUUGGUAAGGAGAAGGUCACGGGUUCAAAUCCCGUUGAGGGCU
RNAcentral lists this transfer RNA (72 nucleotides) under Thalassoporum mexicanum PCC 7367. RNAcentral's name for it is "tRNA-Thr (GGT) (tRNA-Thr-GGT-1-1)". It matches the Rfam family "tRNA". From Rfam's summary of the family: Transfer RNA (tRNA) molecules are approximately 80 nucleotides in length. Their secondary structure includes four short double-helical elements and three loops (D, anti-codon, and T loops). RNAcentral also lists the same sequence under 1 other name. The record is from Rfam by way of RNAcentral. Lineage: Bacteria; Bacillati; Cyanobacteriota; Cyanophyceae; Pseudanabaenales; Thalassoporaceae.